GAUGAACGCUGGCGGCGUGCCUAAUACAUGCAAGUCGAGCGAACAGACGAGGAGUUUGCUCCUCUGACGUUAGCGGCGGACGGGUGAGUAACACGUGGAUAACCUACCUAUAAGACUGGGAUAACUUCGGGAAAUCGUAGCUAAUACCGGAUAAUAUAUUGAACCGCAUGGUUCAAUAGUGAAAGACGGUUUUGCUGUUGCUUAUAGACGGAUCCGCGCCGCAUUAGCUAGUUGGCAAGGUAACGGCUUACCAAGGCGACGAUGCGUAGCCGACCUGAGAGGGUGAUCGGCCACACUGGAACUGAGACACGGUCCAGACUCCUACGGGAGGCAGCAGUAGGGAAUCUUCCGCAAUGGGCGAAAGCUUGACGGAGCAACGCCGCGUGAGUGAUGAAGGUCUUCGGAUCGUAAAGCUCUGUUAUUAGGGAAGAACAAAUGUGUAAGUAAAUAUGCACGUCUUGACGGUACCUAAUCAGAAAGCCACGGCUAACUACGUG
This 497-nucleotide ribosomal RNA is filed under the name uncultured bacterium. RNAcentral's name for it is "partial 16S ribosomal RNA". It matches the Rfam family "Bacterial small subunit ribosomal RNA", at positions 28 to 507 of the family's 1533-position model. The record is from RNAcentral.